GUGAAAUUGUUGAAAGGGAAACGAUUGAAGCCAGUCAUGCCGGUGGGAAUUCAGCUCUCGGAUUUCUGGGAGUGUACUUUCUCGCAAGGCAGGUUAGCAUCAGUUUUGCUUUUCGUAAAAAGUCCGUCGGAAUGUGGCUCCUUUCGGGGGAGUGUUAUAACCAGCGGUUAAUGCGGAGAGUGAGACUGAGGAUUGCAGCGGGUGCCUUUAUGGCUAAGUGCCUAGCUCUUGCUUAUGAUCAUCUUGAUAACAGCAUGCUGGUAUUAAGUUUGAUUCGUGAACAUGGGGUUAGCGUCACGGUAAACUCGUUAAGGAUGCUGACGUAAUGGCUUUAAACGAC
This 340-nucleotide ribosomal RNA is filed under the name uncultured Ambispora. RNAcentral's name for it is "partial 28S ribosomal RNA". Lineage: Eukaryota; Fungi; Glomeromycota; Glomeromycetes; Archaeosporales; Ambisporaceae. The record is from RNAcentral.